GGGCGUAGGUGGACGGUUUACGGCGGAUAUCGCUGAGGAAAGUCCCCUCUCGAUCUGAACCGGGAAACUGUGCAAGCAGUAAGGGUGAGAAUCCUUGCAGAGACACAGAAACGACACAGUCCAUAAAAAAUGCGAUGAUGCAGGUUUAAGCUGCUGAGAUCUUUAUGGGAUAUGAUGAAACGGUCAAUCUGCUCCUGGAGCAAGUCCAAAUAGUAGGAUCAGUUGUUCAGACUGCCUGCAGGUAGGACGCAUAGUAGAAUACCGUUUAAAACAGAAAGGGGCUUACGGCCUAUCACCC
Molecule: RNase P RNA, 298 nt
Filed under: Thermoplasmatales archaeon
Lineage: Archaea; Methanobacteriati; Thermoplasmatota; Thermoplasmata; Thermoplasmatales
Description: RNase P RNA component
Rfam family: Archaeal RNase P
About the family: Ribonuclease P (RNase P) is a ubiquitous endoribonuclease, found in archaea, bacteria and eukarya as well as chloroplasts and mitochondria. Its best characterised activity is the generation of mature 5'-ends of tRNAs by cleaving the 5'-leader elements of precursor-tRNAs.
Source: RNAcentral